RNAcentral lists this ribosomal RNA (1963 nucleotides) under human gut metagenome. Its description in RNAcentral is "bacterial LSU rRNA". It matches the Rfam family "Bacterial large subunit ribosomal RNA", at positions 1 to 1985 of the family's 2925-position model. The record is from RNAcentral.
GAAAGUAAGCAAGGGCAGACGGUGGAUGCCUUGGCUCUCGGAGGCGACGAAGGACGUGAUAAGCUGCGAAAAGCCCGGGGGAGGCGCAAAUAGCCGUUGAUCCCGGGAUAUCCGAAUGGGGCAACCCGGCAGGCUGAAGGCCUGUCAUCCCGAAAGGGAGGCGAACGUGGGGAACUGAAACAUCUAAGUACCCAUAGGAGGAGAAAAUAAACAAUGAUUCCGUAAGUAGUGGCGAGCGAACACGGAAGAGCCCAAACCCAUGUCGUCUAGGCGACACGGGGGUUGUAGGACCACGACGUGGCAAGAAGGAAGGGAAAUGGAACGCCUUGGAAAAGUCGGCCAUAGACGGUGAAAGCCCGGUACAUGACUCCCUUACGAAGCCUAGUGGUAUCCUGAGUAGCGCGGGGCACGAGAAAUCUUGCGUGAAGCAGCGGGGCCCAUCCCGUAAGGCUAAAUACUCCCGAGAGACCGAUAGCGAACCAGUACCGUGAGGGAAAGGUGAAAAGAACCCCGAGCAGGGGAGUGAAAUAGACCCUGAACCCGUCUGCCUACAAGCGGUCGGAGCGUCGUAAUGACGUGACGGCGUGCCUUUUGCAUAAUGAACCUACGAGUUACCUUCCCCGGCAAGGUUAAGUACCUAAGGUACGGAGCCGAAGCGAAAGCGAGUCUGAACAGGGCGCCAAGUCGGGGGGGGUAGACGCGAAACCGAGUGAUCUACCCUUGGCCAGGUUGAAGGUUGGGUAACACCAACUGGAGGACCGGAUGGGUAAGCGUUGAAAAGCUUUCCAAUGAGCUGAGGGUAGGGGUGAAAGGCUAAUCAAACUCGGAGAUAGCUCGUACUCCCCGAAAUGCAUUUAGGUGCAGCCUCUUUAUAGUAUAUCGUGAGGUAGAGCGACUGAUUGGAUGCGAGGGCUUCACCGCCUAUCAAGUCCAGAUAAACUCCGAAUGCGCGAUAUAUAUUUACAGGGAGUGAGGGCGCGGGUGCUAAGGUCCGUGUCCGAGAGGAGAAGAAUCCAGACCACCGGCUAAGGCCCCCAAAUGAUCGUUAAGUUGAACUAACGAGGUCGGAUCGCAGAGACAGCUAGGAUGUUGGCUUGGAAGCAGCCAUUCAUUUAAAGAGUGCGUAACAGCUCACUAGUCGAGCGAUCUGGCGUGGAUAAUAAUCGGGCAUAAACGAUCUGCCGAAGCCGUGGAUGUCGCAAGACAUGGUAGGGGAGCAUUCCAUGCCGCGUCGAAGAUGAGGGAUGACCCUUGUUGGAGCGCAUGGAAAAGCAAAUGUAGGUAUGAGUAACGAUAAGGGGGGCGAGAAACCCCCCCGCCGAAAGACCAAGGUUUCCUGAUCAACGCUAAUCGGAUCAGGGUGAGUCGGGACCUAAGGCAAAGCCGAACGGCGCCGCCGAUGGAAGAAUGGGUUAAUAUUCCCAUACUGCCUCAUGGAGUGACGUGGAGACGGAGAAGUGACAGUCCUGCCGGCUGACGGAAUAGCCGGUUGAAGGGUGUAGAUAUUGAUUCCCGUAGGCAAAUCCGCGGGGAGAGUCGAACCUGAGAGUAUACGGAGCGCUUGCGCAACGUAAUAUGGACGUAACCAUGCUCCCGAGAAAAUCCGCUAAACUUAUCCAUGCGGCACCCGUACCGUAAACGGACACACGUGGUCGGGUUGAGAAUACUGAGGCGCUCGAGUGAUUCACGGUUAAGGAACUAGGCAAAUUGACCCUGUAACUUCGGGAUAAAGGGUCCUCGUCGUAAGGCGAGGCGCAGAGAAUAGGUCCAGGCAACUGUUUAACAAAAACACAUGGCUGUGCUAAAUGGAAACAUGAUGUAUACAGCCUGACACCUGCCCGGUGCCGGAAGGUUAAGAGGAGAUGUCAUCCGCGAGGAGAAGCGUUGAAUUGAAGCCCCGGUAAACGGCGGCCGUAACUAUAACGGUCCUAAGGUAGCGAAAUUCCUUGUCGGGUAAGUUCCG